CCUACGGGAGGCAGCAGUGGGGAAUAUUGCACAAUGGGGGAAACCCUGAUGCAGCGACGCCGCGUGAGUGAGGAAGUAUUUCGGUAUGUAAAGCUCUAUCAGCAGGGAAGAAAAUGACGGUACCUGACUAAGAAGCCCCGGCUAACUACGUGCCAGCAGCCGCGGUAAUACGUAGGGGGCAAGCGUUAUCCGGAUUUACUGGGUGUAAAGGGAGCGUAGACGGUUAAUCAAGUCAGAAGUGAAAACCCAGGGCUCAACCUUGGGACUGCUUUUGAAACUGGCAAACUGGAGUGUGUGAGAGGAUAGUGGAAUUCCAGGUGUAGGAGUGAAAUCCGUAGAUAUCUGGAGGAACAUCAGUGGCGAAGGCGACUAUCUGGCACAUAACUGACGCUGAGGAGCGAAAGCGUGGGUAGCAAACAGGAUUAGAUACCCCUGUAGUC
This 440-nucleotide ribosomal RNA is filed under the name uncultured bacterium. Its description in RNAcentral is "partial 16S ribosomal RNA". It matches the Rfam family "Bacterial small subunit ribosomal RNA", at positions 338 to 795 of the family's 1533-position model. The record is from RNAcentral.